CUGCAUCCCUCGGAGCCGGGGACCCAGGCGCCAGGCGGGCGGUUGAACCUGACCAGUCCCCUCCCAAUCCCCGCAACCCCCCCCCCCAGCCUCCGAGUGUGUGUGGGGGGGAACCCAGGCCUGGAGGGAGGCUGGGCAGGUGCCGAGGGCUGUGCCGAAAGCGCUGAAAUCAAAAACCCUCGCCACUCAGGAAGAAUUGAGGCAAAAGGAUUACAGAUGCUGCUCGAGGACAGCCCUGUACUCCCGCAAGUGCCUGGUAGCCCAUGGGCCCGCGGGGAUCUGCAGUUCGCUGUCGGCUGCCCCUUGUGAGCGCUGAGUCGGGAGGAGGGCGCAGGCAAGGCGCAAGACUCUGAGCGCUCCCCUACCCUGCUCGGGCCCGCAGCAGCCCGGACUGUCGCAGAGCCUCUCUGCAGGGAAGGCUCUGCGCCGCCCUCUGAGCCCACCUCGUGGCCACAACGCUGCUAGCGCUUCUCCAGCCCAGGCCGGAAGCACUCCGCUGCCUCCCGAAGCGGGGAAAGCCAAGGAAAGCGAGCCCCAGAAGGCCUGUGACAGCUGCACCCAGUUCCCCCUUGCUCAACUCGGAACAGCCAACCCAAGGGGUCAGGAAGAUCCGGAGCUGGCCGACCCCAGACUGAUUCUCAACAGGUGGCUGGGUAAGUCUGUUUAAAGAAUUCUGUGUAAAUCCUCCGCUCCUCCCCGACCCUUCCUUUUCCCCUCCCUCUUUCCCCCUAGGCGGGUCCGAAUUCUCUGGGCUCCUCCCGCCAACGAUGGCUCGGGUUGGGGGGUGGGGCGGGGUGGCAGGGUACUAGCGCCCUACCACGGAGGUUUUCUGGCUCUCGGUUCCAGGUUAGUAGACCCCUUGUGAAGCUCCACCCGGUACCCCGGAGUCCCAAUCACCAAUGAUUACUCUCAGCUUCUUGCACUGAACCUCUGCUCCCCGAGAGGGGGAAGGAGGCAGAGCGCGCAGCAGAACCUCGAGAUUUGAACCUGCAGGAAAGGGUUCGAGGGAUCGCUGGACCAGCGGUCUUGGUGUAGGGGUCACAGAGGAAAAAGAGUUCGCCAUCCUCUUUGUGGGAGACACGAGAGACUGCUUGGAGGGAUGCGCGCCUGCUGCACAAAGCCGGGCAGAGGAGUAGGGAGUGGUUCUGCAACCGAGGAUAGUGGUGGGUUGGGGGAGGAGGUAGAAGAGGCCAAAAGAGGGGGGAGGAGAACCAAAGAAAGGGAAGGGCAAGAUAUCCAGGUCAUCCGAGAGAAAAGUCCAAAAAUGUGCCUAAUGCGUGCAUGCAUAGAGCAGACGCGCGCUCGGGGGCGCACAAUCUCUCUCUCUCUCUCUCUCUCUCUCUCUCUCUCUCUCUCUCUCUCUCUCUCUCUCUCUCUCUCCUUCUACACAGGUAGUCCCCCAGUCCCCCACACACUCUGUGUUAGUCGUACAGGGCCCAUCGCACACAGAGAAACCACCUUACUCCACACCCCACACCUCACCCCGCCGGCCCAAAGACUGACCACCUGCGCAGGAGUCGGGAGGGAGGGAAGCCGGGAUGACACUAGGGUAGGGGAGCAGGGAGGAUCUUACCUGCGGAAAGGUAAGAGAAGCAGGGAACUUGUAGCAGCGGCGGAUAAAUAUUCAUUAGGAAGUGUAAGUCCUUUCAAAGGGCUUGGCGCGCGCGCUCUAGCUCCUGUCUCUCUCCCUCUCUCUCUCUCCCUCCCUCUGUCCGCCAGGAAGGCUUCCCCUCCUCUAGCUAUCUCAACGCCGCUCCCCCCCCCCUCCUGCGAAAUACCGGGUGGAUCUGAGGCUAGCUAACCUGUUGGGGAGCCUGAACUGCGGCAGCGCCUCUACAGCUAGCAGUUUGCUUUCGCUCCUGGGGCGCGGGUUACCCCCCCAUUCUCUCCCCUCCCUCCUUUCGCCCAGCCCCUCACCCCUCCUAAAUUACUACAUCAUUAGCUUUAUUGGGGGGAGCAGCCACACGCACCUCUCCAUAGAAGGGUGACUAGUUGGUGCCCUGCGUUACAACCCCAACUCCAUUUCCACCUCAUUCUCACCCAUCUGCACAUUCUCACCCAAUCUUGCUUCCUUUUCUUCGCUCUUUCCACCUCCACCUCCAUCCUGUGUCAGUCUAACUCCCUCAGCAGCCCUCCCACCCGCCGCCGCCAAUCCGGAGCACAGAUUGGGUUGGGAGUGAGACAGCAAGGCAGUUAGGUCCGAAGGUCCUGUGUGUCGAGGUUAGAACUCCUCCCUGCCGUGAGUAUGGGGUGGUUAUCAAGAUCUCCUUCUCCUUCCUGACCCUGCGAGGUUACCAAAUAGCUUGGACCUUUGAAUCAGAUCUCUGGAGUGAGCCUUAAGAACUCCAGUCAUACAGAUCUCAGGGCCUGGCCCUUUCACCCGCCAGGAAAGCUGCUUGAGGGAAGGGGAGAAGUGGCUUCAGUCAGCACCAACGCGCAGGAAAAACUCCUAGGCCGACAGUCGGACUAAUAUUCGUCCUUUAAGAACACACUACCUGAAGUUAGUCGCAUGUCAUCUUCAAUCAAGGAAAGAAAAAAAAACCCUCACAUCUAGAAGAUUCCCUAAAGCCAGUUCCAACAGCACUCGAAAGUGUGAGCUCACACCCUUCUCGGUGCACGCCCCAGUGCCUGCUCUCUCGCGGGCGGGUGAAAAUAACAGGCUGCCCAGGCCAGAGGUGAGAAGGCGGCGGAGGAAUACAUCGCUUAGGGUUGUUUAGGAACUUAAAUAACUGUUUUCAGUACUCUGCUUCUGCUAUCAGGUCCUUAGGUUCCUCUAGGGACCCUGAAAAGUGGCUUCGGCCCACGGUGCCUAGGGAGAGACUCUAGCUCUGGCUCUCCUACUGGGAGCUUAAAGUUGGGGUGAGGGCUUUAAGGAGGGGCCGAGGGGGCGGGCCCUCUAGUUUGCAGUCGUAAGUGCAGUUGCGCCUGGGACUCCAAAAAAGUAGAGUUUCGCCCCCUAACGCUCAGGGUGCUUGGAGGCUCCCCGAGCUUAACUACGGAGCUUCUGCUCUCUCUUGAGCCCCAGGGCAACACAGGACGCGACGGUGGCCAGGAUGCCAGCUGACGUCUAAGACUUCAUUUGCCUUUCAUUUUGGCUGUUCGGAGCUACUGUCUACCAGGGGAGGUUCUAGAAGCUGGUCGCACCCGUCCUGAAUCCAUCCUGUGAGGUGACAGAGGGUCGCUCCUUCAUAUUAAAGGUUAGCAUAAUACUUACUAGGGUAGAGAAAGGUAUGGGGGAAAAAAGGCCUAGGGUAUCUAGGGCUCAGAGACUUGCCAACAUUACAGCUCACCCAAAGUCCAGAACCUCCCUUUCUGCACCUUCUCUCCCCAACACACAUCCCUAAGGUCUCAUCCUCAUCCUACCUUACAGAAGGUAAAGUGUGUGAGAACACACUUAGGAAAAUGAUAGGAAUGUUAAAUCAGUACUGGAGGAAUAAAGAUGUGUGCAAGGAAUGGAUCGGAUACAUGGGCACACACCUUGUCCAGAUGCAGACAAAAGCUAACCGUGUCCACAUGGAGUGACCCCCAAACAUGCACAAAAGUGUACAGGAAGCCAAGGAGAGUGGGGCCAGCCAGCUCAUCUUCCUUCAAGAUGCCCAGUGGUCCUGGAGAAAAAUCUUCAUUGAAUCUUCUGUAUGGAAAGUUUCAGGCCAUGCCCUGAAGAAAAGACCAAGGAAUCAUCGGGCUCUCCUACCUGCUCUGUUGGAGACACCCAGAAGAGGGCAAUGCAGGAAAGAUUCCUUUUGCUUCUGUUAUUUCUUUUGGUUGCUGUCUUUUUCACCCUUUGCCUGGGAAAUUGUGAUCUGGAAUAGGGCUUGAGUAGGCAGCACAGGCCUCCACUAGAUAACAAGAGAUUCUCAAUUUCCAAUGAGGACAUUCAGUUCUAAGGAAGCUUCCAGAUAUGGGAAAGACCCAUUUUGUUCCCUUUCCUCUUCUGAGAUCUGAAAAAACAAACAAACAAGCAAACAAACAAACAAACAAAAACUAUAGCCCAGCCCCGUGUACAUCAAAUAAAUCCACAAGGACUAUGUUAGACCAAGCUAAGUUAUGUAUUUAACUCAUUUUCUUUUGUGAGAUACUGAGAAGUCUUCAACUUCCUCUAUUCCGGGCAGGGAUUGAGGUCCUGGCCUGGCAGAGGUUCCACAACAGGGUUUCCCACAGUGGUUCUGGGGCUCGGCUUAAGGUGUACAGACGUGUUUUCUCGGUCACCUCCUCUGCAUGUUGAGUCCUGUGGAACAGUCCCAGACAAUGGCUGCCCCAGUUCCUUCUAGAAGAGGCAGGGGCUGCUCAGAGCACCGCUGCCCCUCCCGACCUCACCUCAUUUUCCAAUGUGCUCUCUUGAGCUCAUUCUCUGAGCCUCUCCCUCUUAAAGUAGUAGGCAUGAGUCUUGGCCAACUAAAAGAAAAGACUAGGGAAGGGGAGGAAGGAAGUGGGAAAGAGAGCUGCCUCCUGGGCCAACGUGUCCAAUAACCACUCUCUAAGGAGCAAAAGAGAGCAUGUGUUGUAGAGAAGAAGUGACCCCCCCUCCCCUGAACAUUUCUGCAGGGCACAUUGCAACAGAUGUAACUGUCCACUGAGGAGAUGGAGGGUAUGAAUAGGGAAGAAUUUAAUUCCUGGACAUUUUAGUGAAAGUGUUCUAGAUUGUAUUUUGAACAAUAAACUGUGAAAAUCAAAUUCGAGCCCACGCAAUCUGAAUCUUCCUUGGGAGGGCUGGUUCUUUCAGAGCUGUCUUUUUCUCCAGGUCACUUUUCUCUCACCCCCAAUGGGAGUCACCUGCUGAUGCUCCUCAGGAAGAGGCUGUGACUGAAAGAGUGAAGUGAAUACAGGCACAUCAUUCUCAGAACCAAAAUGUACCCUGGUUCCUUCUAGCUAAGAUUCAGAACAUGAAGAAACUGGUUGCCUUUGAACGCCCUCACCUUCUCUAAGAAGAAGUUUCUAGCCUUUCGCACAACAAACCACAGCAUUUUAGAACUGGAAAUGUUUCUUCAAACUUUAACUUAAAAAAAAAAUGUUUAUGGGGCUUUAGCUGGAACACUUGUAACAUUCAGUUCUCAAGGAAAGAUCAACUGCUUUCUCAUAACCCCAACUGUUCCACACACUUUACAGGAUGUAAUGUAUUUUCUUUCUUAUCCUUGUGCCUUCUGCCCAGGACACAGGCCUAGGGGCAAAGCUUCCAAGGUCUGUGACCUCUUGAUAGCACCUGUAAUUGUUCGCCUUUUGUUUUUGUGCCUUGAAAAUCUCUCAUAUACGUCUAUGAAUAUAUGCAUGUGCAUGCGUGUGCU
Mastomys coucha (southern multimammate mouse) is the source of this 5282-nucleotide long non-coding RNA. RefSeq lists it as uncharacterized. The transcript is spliced from 3 exons. The record is from RefSeq and is a predicted model, not a curated record. Lineage: Eukaryota; Metazoa; Chordata; Mammalia; Rodentia; Muridae.